ACCUUUCGUUGUGGUCUCACUUACUUAAUUAAAGACAAAUAAAAUGAUUAAUAUUUUGUUGAAUUAAAUAAGUAAGUGAUUAGCAAAUGAAACUUUUGCUUUAUGGAGUCUUGGUGGUUCUUCUUCGGUCAAAGGGAGUGGUUCCAUCCAACCAUGCAGAUUCCUUAUUAAGCGGUUAAAAUUCGUUCCCAACCAUUAUUUUCCUCUUCCUCACUUUCUCCACUCUUUUCCCGAAUCCGAAUUCAAAUAUUGAACUAAGACUCUGAGAGAUGUCAGCAAAAUAAAUUACUGUAAAGAGUAUAAUAUGCUUCAAUGUUCCAUGCAA
Long non-coding RNA from Arabidopsis thaliana (thale cress), 325 nucleotides. RefSeq annotates it as other RNA. The transcript has a single exon. The record is from RefSeq. Lineage: Eukaryota; Viridiplantae; Streptophyta; Magnoliopsida; Brassicales; Brassicaceae.